UACGUAGGGUGCGAGCGUUGUCCGGAAUUAUUGGGCGUAAAGAGCUCGUAGGCGGUGUGUCACGUCGGCCGUGAAAACCUGGGGCUUAACUCUGGGCGUGCGGUCGAUACGGGCAUCACUAGAGUUCGGCAGGGGAGACUGGAAUUCCUGGUGUAGCGGCGAAAUGCGCAGAUAUCAGGAGGAACACCGGUGGCGAAGGCGGGUCUCUGGGCCGAUACUGACGCUGAGGAGCGAAAGCAUGGGUAGCGAACAGG
This 254-nucleotide ribosomal RNA is filed under the name uncultured bacterium. Its description in RNAcentral is "partial 16S ribosomal RNA". It matches the Rfam family "Bacterial small subunit ribosomal RNA", at positions 524 to 776 of the family's 1533-position model. The record is from RNAcentral.